GGCCGGCGGGCGCAGGCGAAUUUCCGCAGGGAGCGCGGUGAGGAGCCAGCGGUUGGGGUCGGGUCUCCGGGCGUGUGCUCCCCCCGCGGUGAGGGUGAACUAACGGAGGUGGGCGGGCCGGCGCGCCGGGUUAGCAGGCGUUUAUCCUGUAUGGCCGCAGCAGUCAGCGUUCCUCACCAGCACGAGCCCCGCCUGCAGAGCCCUAGGCGGCGGCCAGCAGGAGGCCUCCCGCGGGAACUGUCACUCCGCCAAAAUACUCACAGCAAGAGAGAUAAACAAGCAAAAGUCUAGAAACAAGCCAGCGGUCCAUCUACAGUGGAAAGUGUAAACAAACUGUGAUGUGUUCACGUACUGGAAUUUUACCCUGGCGUGAAAAAUGCACGAACCACAGCUGCAAGCAACAAUAUGGGUUAAUUGUGUGAAUUUCACCAUCCCUGGCUAACUCUCCUUGAAGUAUAAAUAAAGAGAUGAUCAAGCGUCUGCUAGUAGAAGAAAAGAGAGAAGAGGUAUGAAUAAUUCCCAUGUAUUCAGGAUUUGGCCUUCUUCACCCAGUGUGCUGUUGGCUUAGUUUAGUGUGUACCCUCGGGCCCCCUACCCUAUACACAAUAACCAUCUGACAGCCACGGGAAAGCAGGACCCCAGGAAUUCCAAGAUAAGAGACUUGCACAGACAUCUUUAAAGUUCCCUCCCCCGCCCAGGCAGUGUAGACACAAAGACACCUUAUCUCUGACUGAGAGGAAGCGACUUUCCCACCCAGGACCCCGCCGAAUGGCAGGGAGUGAAGCAGGAAGAACACGUGGGCGCUCGUGGCAGGCGAUCCAGGAGGGAGACGGAGCGCGCAGAGGCCCAAGGAGAGGACAGGAUGCAUCCUCGGGCGCACCGCAGACUCCUCCUUGUUGUGAAAGCCCAACGGCCUGAGCAACUCCAGCCCCGUUAAAUGUCUGCCGGCCGAGGACAGGAGCAGGCCCCCACGUGCGGUUCUGGCUGCGCAGGUCCUGCACCAGCCUUGGCACAGGUCAUGGCGAGGAGGCUGCCUGGUUGGGGGGAUGUUCCGACUGGACAACCAGUUCAUAAACUGCCCGAGGAGAGGGCACUGAGAGCUUUGGGAAAUGGAUGCUGAACUUUCAGCACUUUCUACGCUAG
This is a non-coding RNA of Kogia breviceps (pygmy sperm whale), 1143 nucleotides long. The record is from RefSeq and is a predicted model, not a curated record. NCBI's taxonomy places the organism in Eukaryota, Metazoa, Chordata, Mammalia, Artiodactyla, Physeteridae.